This is a long non-coding RNA of Grammomys surdaster, 1576 nucleotides long. RefSeq lists it as uncharacterized. The record is from RefSeq and is a predicted model, not a curated record. The transcript has 3 exons. NCBI's taxonomy places the organism in Eukaryota, Metazoa, Chordata, Mammalia, Rodentia, Muridae.
CAGAAAGAAUCAGGGAAAGGAUUGUGUCUGGCUAGAGGAGCUGCCGUCUCCAUGUGAAGGUUAGGAUGUUCAUCAGGGGAGGGAGAGCUCCCUUAGCCUCUGCUUGAAGUAAAAAAGAAGGAAUGGAAGGAUUAAAUGGUGGUGAAGGUGGGGGAGAGAUCUUCUUCCUUCCGGGGGCCUAGGGAAGAAUGCAAAGAGAGAGGAAGAGAGAGAAAGCAUCGAUGGUUACGGCUGCUUUGCUGAACAAGCGCACUGAGGCCAAGACUUGCUAGAGCUAAGCAAGCCCCGUGCUCCAAGCAGUAUCCCUUGGAUUCUGUCUCUAACCUCACCCCUCCUCCUCACAAGAGAGAAAGAAGACUAAAAGAAAAUCAGCAACUUACUGAAGGUACCACCUGGAGCGCAGAACAGCUGGCUCUUCAGAGGCCCCACCAGCAGGAAGCACCUCACCAAAUGGAGCUGUCUGGUCUUAAACUUCCCAACCUUCCAACCUGUGUGCUGAAGAACAGUGUUUUCCCUGUAAGGUACUCAGCCUGUGGCAUUCAGUCACACCGACAGAAGAUGGCCGAAGAUGCCGCCCGUUAGUAGCGGAUCAGUGUCAGGAUUACUACUGAAGGAGUGCCUGCUCCUUAUGAAGCUUCCCUUCAAAUAUAGAAGGAAGAACGAGGGGACACAUCUUUCUUUGGGUACUGUGUCUUUUAGGCCUCCAAAGCACUCUUUCUCCAAAUGACUCUGCUACACGCCAUGUGUAGGGGAACUUUACUGAGUACCUGGUAUGUCUGGCUCUACCAACAGUUCCUACCAUGGUCAGUAUUAUUCCCAUUUUAAUGUAAGAAAAUGUCAUUGUAUCUUGCCCAGGUGACAGGUCCAUCAAUGACAAAGCUGGGAUCUGAAAACAGAUCUCACUGGGGUACCAUUGUUGUCCCUUGUCCACAAUGCUGAGUGAUCUUGUCACCAAUAUAUCCCUGAUAUGUUCUUAUUUGUCCAGUCAGAGAUUCAGGUCAGUAUUUCUAGGCAAAAUCUGCCUGUAGACGUAAGUCACACAGACAACACAUUCUUCUAUGACUGCUAGUAAGAAGCACUAAUACAUGCUUUAACUCACUCACCUUCACUGAACAACAAGCCCCCAGAGAAUCAUGUUUGAUUACAAUUUAAAACAACAUUUUACGUUAGGGCCACAGGCUAAGAGCAUUUGCUGCUCUUGCAGAAGACCUCGAUUCAGAUCGCAGCACCCAGAACCCAGAUGGUGGUUCACAGUAAUCUAUAAAUCCAGUUCCAGGGGAUCUGAUGCCUUCUUCUGGUUGCCUUGGGUACUGCAUGCAUGUGGUGUACAUAGAAUCACACAGGUUCACAUAUAUACAUAUAGAGAAUGGGGAUGCCCCUUCAUUCUCUGAGGGAUACCUCUCAUUUCCCUCUCAACUCUGUGACCAGAACCCCACAGACUUUGUCGACACCUUCAGAUGAGAUUGGAAUUGUCAUCAUGUCUCUUUCACAGAGUGUUGUACCCAGCAGAACCCCAUUGUGCAGGGUUCCUGGUGCUGACAGGCACAGGCUUUGCAUAAAGUAGGAGCCUGAGGAA